Molecule: long non-coding RNA, 748 nt
Filed under: Gossypium barbadense (sea-island cotton)
Lineage: Eukaryota; Viridiplantae; Streptophyta; Magnoliopsida; Malvales; Malvaceae
Description: long non-coding RNA (GBAR_LNC007415)
Source: RNAcentral
CCCUCCUUCCAAAAAAAAAAAAGAAAUUUUGCUCUCCCCUCAUUCUCUUAAAAACCCUAUAGGCCGGCCAAGUCUCCGAUGGACCACCACUGCACUAGUCGCCGGUUGCCGGCACCUGCGCCGCCGUAUACGGCGGCCAAAAUGUAAUUUUUUUUUACUCUUAUAUAUAUACAUAUAUACAUAUAUAAACAGUUUUGAAUAAAAAAAUAAAAAAAUAAAGAAAUAUAUGUGCAUACACAGACAAUUUCGAAAGAAAGGAAAAUAAAGAGAAAAUAAAAAAAUAGAAAGACCCGCGCUUUGAAUUUGUUUUGGUUUGCUUCUUUGUAUUUUUAUUUUUUUUCUUCAAAAUCUGUCCAAAAAAUACAUCCAUCCUUUCAUGGCUUUUACAGCCAAAUAAAUACAAUAUAUUUCAUUAUUUUCUUUCAUCUCUACUACUGUUUCUGCUAUCUGCCUCUGUUGUUUCUUUUUCCUUUUCUUUGCCUUGUUUACAGGUGCAGCAGAGGAGGGGUCAGGUCUCGAGCGCCGAGUGCGCUGUGGAGGCAAGUAGAGGGCUCGGCUAGGGUUUUUGCUUUCUUUUUUUUGGCUGAAAUUUGUUUAGGUUUUGGGCCUAUCGGGCCAUUAGGUUUUUUAGUAUUUGGGCUUCUAUUUUUGUCAUUUUCGGCUGUUAAUGAACUAUGGAUUUAUUAUUUAUUUUGGUUCUGUUGGUUUGGGCUCGGGCUGGGCAAAUAGGCCUAUUAUAACAACCACA